Molecule: small nuclear RNA, 97 nt
Filed under: Phascolarctos cinereus (koala)
Lineage: Eukaryota; Metazoa; Chordata; Mammalia; Diprotodontia; Phascolarctidae
Source: RNAcentral
UUGCUUCUGAAGCACAUGUAUUAAAAUUGGAAUGAGAAGGCUAGCAUGGCCCCUGCACAAGGAUGACACCAAAAUUCAUGAAGGGUUCCAUUUUUUC